ACGGAGGGUGCAAGCAUUGAUCGGAAUUACUGGGCGUAAAGGGCGCGUAGGCGGCAAGAUAAGUCAGAUGUGAAAUUCCACAGCUCAACUGUGGAGCUGCAUUUGAAACUGUCUAGCUUGAGCAUAAUUAGGGAAAACGGAAUUCCACAUGUAGCGGUGAAAUGCGUAGAUAUGUGGAGGAACACCGGUGGUGAAGACGGUUUUCUGGGUUAUUGCUGACGCUGAGGCGCGAAAGCUAGGGGAGCAAACAGG
This 252-nucleotide ribosomal RNA is filed under the name uncultured bacterium. Its description in RNAcentral is "partial 16S ribosomal RNA". It matches the Rfam family "Bacterial small subunit ribosomal RNA", at positions 525 to 776 of the family's 1533-position model. The record is from RNAcentral.